RNAcentral lists this ribosomal RNA (321 nucleotides) under Babesia canis. Its description in RNAcentral is "SSU rRNA". It matches the Rfam family "Eukaryotic small subunit ribosomal RNA", at positions 528 to 900 of the family's 1831-position model. The record is from RNAcentral. Lineage: Eukaryota; Apicomplexa; Aconoidasida; Piroplasmida; Babesiidae.
AACCCUCACCAGAGUAGCAAUUGGAGGGCAAGUCUGGUGCCAGCAGCCGCGGUAAUUCCAGCUCCAAUAGCGUAUAUUAAACUUGUUGCAGUUAAAAAGCUCGUAGUUGAAUUUUAGCGUGUUCGAGUUUGCCAUUCGUUUGGCUUUUUCGAGUUCGCUUUUGGGUUUUCCCUUUUUACUUUGAGAAAAUUAGAGUGUUUCAAGCAGACUUUUGUCUUGAAUACUUCAGCAUGGAAUAAUAGAGUAGGACUUUGGUUCUAUUUUGUUGGUUAUUGAACCUUAGUAAUGGUUAAUAGGAACGGUUGGGGGCAUUCGUAUUUA